GAAAAUUACAAGCAUAAGCUCAAAACUCAAAGGACUUGGCGGCGCUUUAGAUCCCCCUAGAGGAGCCUGUCCUAUAAUCGAUAACCCCCGUUAAACCUUACCUUCUUUCGCUACCAGUCUAUAUACCGCCGUCGUCAGCUUACCCCUUAUAGGUUCCAUAAGUGAGCAAAACCGGUCGAACCCCAAACGUCAGGUCAAGGUGUAGCAUAUAAGAAGUGAAGAGAUGGGCUACAUUUCCUAAACAGGGUCUACGAACAAUGUUUUGAAACAAACAUAUUGAAGUAGGAUUUAGCAGUAAGUAAAAAAUAGAGUGUUUU
Molecule: ribosomal RNA, 317 nt
Filed under: Anablepsoides aff. atratus
Lineage: Eukaryota; Metazoa; Chordata; Actinopteri; Cyprinodontiformes; Rivulidae
Description: partial 12S ribosomal RNA
Rfam family: Bacterial small subunit ribosomal RNA
Source: RNAcentral